Molecule: long non-coding RNA, 1002 nt
Organism: Hylaeus volcanicus
Lineage: Eukaryota; Metazoa; Arthropoda; Insecta; Hymenoptera; Colletidae
Exons: 3
Source: RefSeq, a predicted model, not a curated record
GUUGGAAACAUGUUUGUGAGUUGUUUUGCAAGUAGUACAUGUAUCAUUGAGAAGCAAAAAGUGACGAUAAGGAUCGGUAUUUGUUUUGAUUUUAAAGUCUUUUCCUUGAUGAUUAUAACGUAAACGACGUUCUACUAAAGCUCCAGUCAAAAAAAUUCGCGUUAAGGUGCCUUUCCACCAUGCUUGAAUUUUAGACGCAGCUGCAUCACGUUUUCUCUAAUAAAAUAUUUCAACACGAUCAAUCAAAAGAAAAUGAAAGUCUUAUGAUAUUAAGGACUAUCUUCAUUCUUAACUGGCAAUGCAAUUUUCUCGUCCUCUACAACAGAUUCAUUUUUCUUUUGUAACAUGUUCGCCCCAUUGGUUUUCCCUUAUUCAAUGUUACCUUUGCUUUCUAAAAGUUUUUCUGUAUCUUCCUUGAAAGGAACAGAUUUUUUUAGUUCAUUGACAUUGAUAGAUGAAAAAACAUUUGCCUUGCGUGUUUUUCGCGGUAAAAGUUUUUUUUCACCAGUGCCUAACGGAUAACGUUCUUCAGCUAUCGGAGGCUCACUUGACACUUUAGGUUCUUUCGUUAUCUCAGGUUGACCCAACAUCGCACUCGAAGGCAGCCUGCUUUAAUCAUUUACUAUAAUUAAGCAGUCAGUGGUGUUCGUUGAAUCUAUAAGUUUUGAAUUUCCUUGAAAGGAAUCUUGGAUAUAAAAUAUUUACAAGAAAGUUUCUUGACAUUUAAUUUUUUGAAGGGUCACAAAAAGCAAAUAUCAUGCUGAUUACCUUGUUUUACAUGAGUUUGCGUCGUAGGGAAUGGUUUCUGAGAGAGAGUUUCUUCUUGUGAAAAAAUAAGAGGAAGUUUAUUCUCUACAUGAAAGUCGAGUAGGUGACAUAUAAUAGCGAAAGUUUUCUUUUAAUAUUAAAGGCAUAUAAAAAGAUUUACCUUGUACGAUGUCUUCGUUGACGAGAUCGUUUGAAAAGCUUUUAAACCAUGUACCGCUUGUAGCGUUUUUCAUG